This 373-nucleotide ribosomal RNA is filed under the name uncultured organism. RNAcentral describes it as "partial 16S ribosomal RNA". It matches the Rfam family "Bacterial small subunit ribosomal RNA", at positions 527 to 896 of the family's 1533-position model. The record is from RNAcentral.
GUAGGUGGCAAGCGUUGUCCGGAAUUAUUGGGCGUAAAGCGCGCGCAGGCGGUCCUUUAAGUCUGAUGUGAAAGCCCACGGCUCAACCGUGGAGGGUCAUUGGAAACUGGGGGACUUGAGUACAGAAGAGGAAAGCGGAAUUCCAAGUGUAGCGGUGAAAUGCGUAGAGACUUGGAGGAACACCAGUGGCGAAGGCGGCUUUCUGGUCUGUAACUGACGCUGAGGCGCGAAAGCGUGGGGAGCAAACAGGAUUAGAUACCCUGGUAGUCCACGCCGUAAACGAUGAGUGCUAAGUGUUAGGGGGUUUCCCGCCCCCUUAGUGCUGCAGCUAACGCAUUAAGCACUCCGCCUGGGGAGUACGGCCGCAAGGCUG